Molecule: ribosomal RNA, 253 nt
Filed under: uncultured bacterium
Lineage: Bacteria
Description: partial 16S ribosomal RNA
Rfam family: Bacterial small subunit ribosomal RNA
Source: RNAcentral
UACGUAGGGUGCAAGCGUUAAUCGGAAUUACUGGACGUAAAGCGUGCGCAGGCGGCUUUGCAAGACAGAUGUGAAAUCCCCGGGCUUAACCUGGGAACUGCAUUUGUGACUGCAUGGCUGGAGUGCGGCAGAGGGGGAUGGAAUUCCGCGUGUAGCAGUGAAAUGCGUAGAUAUGCGGAGGAACACCGAUGGCGAAGGCAAUCCCCUGGGCCUGCACUGACGCUCAUGCACGAAAGCGUGGGGAGCAAACAGG